This 1115-nucleotide long non-coding RNA is filed under the name Oryctolagus cuniculus (rabbit). RNAcentral's name for it is "lncRNA (ENSOCUG00000037330.1)". The record is from RNAcentral. Lineage: Eukaryota; Metazoa; Chordata; Mammalia; Lagomorpha; Leporidae.
GCGGUUAACUUCAAGCGGCCGGCACUUCGGGCCUUCCGCUCGGCCGGUUCCCACCGGCAGAGCCUCCAAGCCCGUACCGCACCGGGCGCCGUUCGCUUUGCACGCCGCCCCUCCCGCCGCCCCUCCUCAUCCGGCGUCGGAGAUCUGGAGGCCCCCGGGACGGCGGUGCCGUGGGGUCCCCGGGCGUUCGCGCCUCUCUCUGCGGCUCCAUGGCAGGCGCUCAGGUGGAGCCGGAGCAUUGAGUCCUUGUGGCCGCCGGGGGGCGCCACGCGCUGAGGGAACCGGCUCGCGACGCACGUGGCCACGUACGCACGUACGCCGCGUACGGGCGGCGUGUCCCCGAAGUCGCUCCUCGAGGGCCCGCCCCCAAGGCUGGGAAGGAACGAGCCCAUUGGUCAGCCCCGCGUUGGGGGGGCGUUUCCAUCCUACACCCGGAAGGGAAGGGUGGGCCCGGGGCCGCGUAGGGAUGCCACGGGACUGCGGUUCAGGGUUGGGAGGAGGCCCCGUUUCCUUGCUCACUGCUGGCGGCCCUCAGCUCCUCCCUGAUGGUCUCGGCAUUGCCCGCCCCGUCCUCCAGGUCAGCACUGCAGAGAUGAGAAGGCCAAGGUUCAAAGAGGAAGAUGGCCACACAGAAUACGCAGGCCUCCUUAAUUCGCAUGUCUUGUGCUCUCCAUGCUUGUCUUCAGUGUUUGGGAUGAUUAGAGUUCUCUAUGGAGCGUUCAUCAUGACUUGAAAAACUCUGAUUCUACCACAAACCUAGUGGAACAGAGUCUGUCGCUCUGUACUGAUCUAGAUGACCACCUGAGUUGUGAACCAUUGCAAUUUACUGAAAGUAAUGGGUUUGUCUCAUAACAAAAGAAUAUAACUCAGGUUUCUCUCCUCCAUGUUCUACAGUGGAUUAUAUGUUGUUUUGUAAUAUAUCACAAUCCAACUUGGGGGACAUUCUCACCACAGUAGUAAUUUAUUACCCCAGUCAUUUCUUUCUGUCAUCUUUGGCUGCAUAGGUAUCACCCCCAGAGCAUUUUUUGUACCAAAGGGAGAUCUGUCUUCUUCCCUUUCUUCCUCCCACUCCUGUCCUUGUAGGACUGUGCUAUAUAAGGUGUCUUCUGUCGUUA